RNAcentral lists this long non-coding RNA (1222 nucleotides) under Malus domestica (apple). RNAcentral describes it as "long non-coding RNA (MDOM_LNC004647)". Lineage: Eukaryota; Viridiplantae; Streptophyta; Magnoliopsida; Rosales; Rosaceae. The record is from RNAcentral.
GGUGCAAGUGCGAGAUUAAGUGUGAAAUACAUAACCAGAGUAUAACAUCCUAGAUGCAGUCAAGCAGGACAAGUACAAAUUAUACAAUACCCGAGGGUGAUCCUACAUGGUGAUGUUCUGUCAGAACCCCCGUCAGAAUCCUCGUGAUCCACCAAGCACCUCUACUUAAAACCUGGAGGGGCGCAAAACAAAAAGUGUGAGUGGGCAAAAACAAAGCUUUUCAAAAUCAUUUCAUUUCUCAAAAGUUCUAACCCCUCGCCGUAAAACCUGUAUAAUUUUCCUAGAAAAAUAGAAUAUAUACAUAUCCCAAAACCAUGCUCAGAAAACAAUAUUAUAAGUAUGCCAUGCCAAAGUAUCUCAAUGCAAUGCUAUAGGUAAACCAGGCAAAAUAUAUAAAUAUCAAAUAUCGCAUUAGUCAAAUCUCUCUAACUCAAACUGCACUGCUAAGUAUAUAGCUCAUAACCAAUCUCAAUCAUAUCAAAUCAAAUCCUGCACACGAGUCAGAACCACCUAUAGUGGUUUGCAUGACAAGACUAGGUGUAAAGUAAAUAUGCUCUAGUGUUACGAUCACGUAAAGGCUGUGCGAAUGAUCGUGGGUCACCUACGAGUCGAAACCACCUAAAGUGGUAUGUACGACAAGCAUGUGCACCUAACUUGGAUCCAAGGUGAGCAUACGGUGCGGGAGGUGAACAUCACGUGAAAGACUGUGCCCUAACUCUGGGUGGGAGCACUAACAUCGGGGUGCAGGUUUAUGAGCUCUUAAUACAUUACAACAUAUCUCACAUAACCGAAACAAUCUCAUACCUUUGAUUUAUGAACUUACCUGGCACUUACUUGUGCGUUCGCAACACCAAUCAUGAAUGUCUGCAACUACUAAUGCAUAAUUAAAAUAGAUAGAUACUUGCAUGGCAUUUCCAAAACAUAUAUUCAUUUAAAUUCAUUUUCUGGGAAAAAUCUCGAGUAUAUAGGUAUAUACGGAAAACCAAAAGCCCACUCAUUGGUAUGUCGAAGGGUCGUAGCCCCUGAGCCUCGAUUGAUGGCGCUCGUCCUCAGGAUAGGUCUCACCUAUAUGCGAAAUAACUAAAUAAAUGUUAUUUAAAGCACAUAACCAAAAUUAGGUAAUAACUUCUCAUACAAAGCUCAAAUGGGGUAUUUGAAUAUACCACCAUGAUCUAGUCAACCUCAGGAACAUCCCCAUAUUUUUAGAAAAAAUUUCGGACAU